RNAcentral lists this long non-coding RNA (2456 nucleotides) under Equus asinus (donkey). RNAcentral describes it as "lncRNA (ENSEASG00005030744.1)". The record is from RNAcentral. Lineage: Eukaryota; Metazoa; Chordata; Mammalia; Perissodactyla; Equidae.
CUGGCUCCCACAGCAGGAGCUUUGCCAUUGGUAAAAUACUCAAGUCCGUCCAGACAGUGUAGCUCCUGACCCCACCUAGUUGUGGGCCUGGGAAGGGCAGCUGCUUGUGCUGGUAGGUCUGUCUGCCAGAGGAGCCUCCCCAGCCUAGAGGGAGCAGGCCCUGAGGAGCGUCUCAGAGGGAAGGUGGCGUGCUGGGAGCUUGUCUCCCGGGAGCACACCUGGCAGACCCCUCUCCCACGGCCGCUCAGGCAUGAGCAUGUCGUGCUGUUUCCAAACAGAUCAUCAGCCCAGUUCCCAAGGCAGUGCUGUCACGUGGGUGUGAUCACCCCCCUAUUUGCAGUCAGGGUUUUCAUUGCUGGCCUCCACACUCUGCAGAAUGGAUUUCACCUGUUGGAUGAGCCCCACCCAUCUCACUUCACUUCAUCUCACCUCACAGGUCACCCUGGAGCUUUAAUCCAGUGGUUCUCAAAGUGUGGGCCCUGGGCCAGCAGCAUCAGCAGCAUCAGGAAACCUGCACCCCAGACCUACCGAAUCAGAUACUCUGGGGGUGGGCCCAGCAGUCCGGGUGAUUCUGAUGUCCUUCUAACGUGGGGCUCUGCCUGGUUCACAGUAACCGCUCUGAGCCAGCGGUUCUCAAACUCAGCUGCACACUGGAAUCACCUGAGGGCUCUAAAAAUACGGAUGCUCAGGCCACACCCAGACCAACUGAAUCAGACUCUCGGGGGAUGGACAUCAGCAGCUUCUACAGCUCCUGGGUGAUGCCUGUGUGCAGCCAGGACCGACGCCCAUGCUCUAGGCCUCACUGUUACUUCUGUAAGAUGAUAACAGCUGAGCUACCCCAAGGCAUCUUAUCAGAAUCAUUUCCCUUCUGUGACCAUGAGCUUGAACCCUGGAUAAAGGGGAGAGGGUUGGUUCUCAAGCUCGGACAGCAUAAACAAAUUUGAUUAUAACAACGGCAAGAGAUAUGUGCAUUAAAGAAAAGGGAGCUCCUUCGUGCCUCCUCCUCUAUUUGGGUGAAAGGGCAUAACCUGCCACUUUCCACUCCGGCUUUCUCUUUGGUGGGGGUGGCGGUGGGGAACUCCACCUCAGGAUGGGGUCUGAUUUGCAGCCGGUCAGUCGGGGCUGACCCCCCGGGUCUGAGGCCUUGUCUGCCCCCGCCCUGGCUUGCCCACGCCUCUCUGUUUCUCUGGCAGCUCUGUGUGGUUUCUGUAUUGCUUCUGGAGACCACCCUGUUCAUGGCUCUGUUCUGCAGGACGGGGACUGGCAGGGAAGGGGGCUGCCUGACCGCUACUCACGGAAGUGCCUUGACGUCCAUGUGUCUCAGCUCAUCCCCACGUGACCCCACAAAGUUCUCCACGCUGACUUUCUGAAAAAAGAGAAUGCUAUUUCUCACCACACGUUGGCGUUCCAGACAUCAAAUGCGUGGUCCAACAAGGACAGGAGGACAUACGCUACCGCUUCCCAAGGGAGAGCACCUCGCCCUCCUUCUCCGAGGGAGGAACAGGCGUAGGACCUCCUCGACUGUGCUGGUGGAGAUUACGAUGGGAACACUGCCUUCAGCCAAGAUGAAAUAAGCACCUACUCUGUGCUGUGCUGCGGGCCACCUGCUCUACCCGGUGGACUAGGACCUCACUGUCCCCAACUUCAGUGACUGUAUCGUGCCCCUGGGUACAUGCGCAUUCCUCUCACAAACAUUUGCUGAGCAUCUACGUAUAUGACCCUACUUCACUCAGCAAAUAUUCGUAGAGUACCUAUUAUGUGCCAGGAACCAUCCCAGGCUCUGGGAAUCCAGCGGAAAGCAGUCCCUGGCCUCCUAGAGCUGCUCGUUCUAGUAGAGGGAGAAAAACAGUGAGCCAACAAGAGGAGGAGAUGAUAGGCAGGGGCACCAGCACUGAAGGAAGCAAAACAAGAGAGCCCUCCGGCCAGGCAGACAACAGCGUUUGGAGGGGCCGGUGCCCCUGGGGUCAGCAGGGCUGCCCUGGGAGGAGGCCUCCCCGCUGAGACCCAUACCCCAUGCAGGAACCACCAGGUGAGGACCUGAGAGCAGGGGGCCAGGGGCACAGCAAGUGCAAGGGUCCCCAAAUAGGCAACAUCCGCCACCGGUAUUGUCACCAACCGGCUCUCUGGGGAUCAGAGACUGGUCACUGCAGGGAGGUGGGAGGAGGGUGGGCAGGCUGGAGAAGCUGUGAGGAGGGCCAUGUGCAGGCCACGGAAAGGGGCUGGAUUUGGUUCCAGGAGCAAUGGGAGUCCCCGGAGGUCCUGACACAACCUGGUCGACGUUUGUGAAGAAGGUCCUCUGACGGCCGGCGAGGUUGGCGGUGGAGUCCGCCUCUUCCCGUGAGAGAAGCCAAGGUGGAGCCGGCUGCCCUGCAGUAAGCGAGCUUCUCGGUCCCAGGCAGAGCCCAGCGAGGGCUGAGCAGCAGUGACACACAGCAGAUGGGGGCGGGGACGGGGCA